RNAcentral lists this ribosomal RNA (253 nucleotides) under uncultured bacterium. Its description in RNAcentral is "partial 16S ribosomal RNA". It matches the Rfam family "Bacterial small subunit ribosomal RNA", at positions 524 to 776 of the family's 1533-position model. The record is from RNAcentral.
UACGUAGGGGGCAAGCGUUAAUCGGAAUUACUGGGCGUAAAGCGUGCGCAGGCGGCUUUGCAAGACAGAUGUGAAAUCCCCGGGCUUAACCUGGGAACUGCAUUUGUGACUGCAUGGCUGGAGUGCGGCAGAGGGGGAUGGAAUUCCGCGUGUAGCAGUGAAAUGCGUAGAUAUGCGGAGGAACACCGAUGGCGAAGGCAAUCCCCUGGGCCUGCACUGACGCUCAUGCACGAAAGCGUGGGGAGCAAACGGG